UUAAAGUCUUGGGAAUGGCAAAGCUUGAAGGCGAUAAACGGGAGAGAGGAUGGUCAGAGAUGGUGAACGCCAAAACGUUUAGUUGUGAGCGACAACGGUAGGAAAAGGGCAGAAAAGAGGAGGAAAAAAUUAUGGACGAAAAAAGAUGGGGUUUUCUUAUUUGGAGGAGAAAUGUCGCAUCAGUCUAGUAAGUUAAAUUUCAAAGUUAAAAUUAGGAAUGAUGUUAAGAAAAAUAUAUCAUUAAUUUAUAUGCGUGUAUGUUAUGUGUAUAAAAA
This 275-nucleotide unclassified non-coding RNA is filed under the name Hevea brasiliensis (rubber tree). The record is from RNAcentral. Lineage: Eukaryota; Viridiplantae; Streptophyta; Magnoliopsida; Malpighiales; Euphorbiaceae.